This 440-nucleotide ribosomal RNA is filed under the name uncultured bacterium. RNAcentral's name for it is "partial 16S ribosomal RNA". It matches the Rfam family "Bacterial small subunit ribosomal RNA", at positions 338 to 795 of the family's 1533-position model. The record is from RNAcentral.
CCUACGGGAGGCAGCAGUGGGGGAUAUUGCACAAUGGGGGAAACCCUGAUGCAGCGACGCCGCGUGGGUGAAGAAGCGCCUCGGCGCGUAAAGCCCUGUCAGCAGGGAAGAAAAUGACGGUACCUGAAGAAGAAGCCCCGGCUAACUACGUGCCAGCAGCCGCGGUAAUACGUAGGGGGCAAGCGUUAUCCGGAUUUACUGGGUGUAAAGGGGGCGCCGACGGCGAUGCAAGCCAGGAGUGAAAGCCCGGGGCCCACCCCCGGGACUGCUCUUGGAACUGCGUGGCUUGAGUGCAGGAGAGGAGAGUGGAAUUCCUAGUGUAGCGGUGAAAUGCGUAGAUAUUAGGAGGAACACCAGUUGCGAAGGCGGCUCUCUUGACUGUAACUGACACUGAGGCACGAAAGCGUGGGGAGCAAACAGGAUUAGAUACCCGUGUAGUC